GCGCGAAAACUUUACAAUGCUGGCAACAGCGAUAAGGGAACCUCGAGUGCCAGGUUACAAAUCUGGCUGUCGAGAUGCCUAAAAAGCAUUUCAUAGCAAGGGCCGGGCAAGACCGGUGCCAGCCGCCGCGGUAACACCGGCGGCUCGAGUGGUAACCGUUAUUAUUGGGUCUAAAGGGUCUGUAGCCGGCCGGAUAAGUCUCUUGAGAAAUCUGGCAGCUUAACUGUCAGGCUUUCAGGAGUUACUGUCUGGCUCGAGGCCGGGAGAGGUGAGAGGUACUUCAGUGGUAGGGGUGAAAUCUGGUAAUCCUUGAAGGACCACCAGUGGCGAAGGCGUCUCACCAGAACGGACCUGACGGCAAGGGACGAAAGCUAGGGGCACGAACC
This 386-nucleotide ribosomal RNA is filed under the name uncultured prokaryote. RNAcentral describes it as "bacterial SSU rRNA". It matches the Rfam family "Archaeal small subunit ribosomal RNA", at positions 339 to 725 of the family's 1478-position model. The record is from RNAcentral.